UGCAUAUCAAUAAGCGGAGGAAAGGAAACUAACAAGGAUUCCCCUAGUAACUGCGAGUGAAGCGGGAAAAGCUCAAAUUUAAAAUCUGGCAGUCUUUGGCUGUCCGAGUUGUAAUCUAGAGAAGUAUUAUCCGCGCUGGACCGUGUACAAGUCCCCUGGAAUGGGGCGUCAUAGAGGGUGAGAAUCCCGUCUUUGACACGGACUGCCAGGGCUUUGUGAUGUGCUCUCAAAGAGUCGAGUUGUUUGGGAAUGCAGCUCAAAAUGGGUGGUAAAUUCCAUCUAAAGCUAAAUAUUGGCGAGAGACCGUUAGCGAACAAGUACCGUGAGGGAAAGAUGGAAAGAACUUUGGAAAGAGAGUUAAACAGUACGUGAAAUUGCUGAAAGGGAAACGCUUGAAGUCAGUCGCGUUGGCCAGGGAUCAACCUUGCUUUUUUGCUUGGCUUACUUUCUGGUCGAUGGGUCAGCAUCAAUUUUGACUGGUGGAAAAAGUUCAAGGGAAUGUGGCAUCUUCGGAUGUGUUAUAGCCUUUGUUCACAUACAUCAGUUGGGAUUGAGGAACUCAGCACGCCGCGAGGCCGGGUUUUUAACCACGUACGUGCUUAGGAUGCUGACGUAAUGGCUUUAAACGAC
Molecule: ribosomal RNA, 630 nt
Filed under: Laccaria sp. La16_16MI10
Lineage: Eukaryota; Fungi; Basidiomycota; Agaricomycetes; Agaricales; Hydnangiaceae
Description: eukaryotic LSU rRNA
Rfam family: Eukaryotic large subunit ribosomal RNA
Source: RNAcentral